This is a long non-coding RNA of Bombina bombina (fire-bellied toad), 1464 nucleotides long. RefSeq lists it as uncharacterized. The transcript has 2 exons. The record is from RefSeq and is a predicted model, not a curated record. Lineage: Eukaryota; Metazoa; Chordata; Amphibia; Anura; Bombinatoridae.
CAUGCCUUGCCAGAGAAGGUAAUCUUUCUCUAAAGAAGUUUGACGGAAUAGGGUUAAAUGAAUGUAUAAAUUCAUAGCUAUCCUGGAAGAAAAACAGUUAAUAAUUGCUCAAGCCAUUUGUGACAUAAAUGACUUGGACACAGACACCUAAAAGUGAUUUUUAACCUACAAAAGAAUGGCUUGGCAAGAGAGAUACACAUAAAGCUUUGUAAAGAGGACCAUGAUGAAGGUGUAUGUGAAUGUCAUCUGAUAGGACAAGACUUUCUAUCCUCAAGCAGAGCUGGGGAGGAGUUCAACAAAGUCUCUGGAACUGAUACAUAGAAACAUGGUCACAUUUCCCAUAAAGUAUAUGCUUAAUUCGUUCAUAGCCUUAUGCUAAUCAUAUACAUGGCUUUACCAAACACUCAGGUAUAUGUGGUCACAUUUAUACCAAAUGAUUGUGGGCAUAAUAAGUUUGUACUAACAUUUAUUGAUGGAUACUGUAGCUAUUUUGUGACCCUAUGAGAAUGGAUGUAAGUGUUACAAAAUCCUGAAUAAAAAGAUGGGGAAAGUGACAGUGAAGUAUUGUUCAUGUCAGAGAAGGAGAGCAAGCCAAAUGGCAUAACCCUUGCCUGAAAUCCACAGAGAGAGACACAGAUACAGACAGAAGACCUGCUUGGGCUUUGGCCUGUCUAUAUAACCACUACACAGGUAGAGGCUGUAGCAGGAGACCUUCAUGCUAGGCAAAGAGAAUACACAGAAGAAAGGGAGCACUAAGCAAGGAGGAACAGGGUAGUCAUGUGAUGCUGAACUGCAAAUGGAAUACCAGUGCCAGCUACCAGACACUGAUCUGGAGAGAAAACAAGUGCCAGCUCCACGUCUGUUCGACUUUGCAAAGUCAGCAUCAACAGCGAACCAUCUUCAUUGACUGCACUUGACAAACUUAUUUCUACAGAAUCUGCCAAGUGGAAAGAAGUAGCUAACAUGGAAAUUGAAGCAUGCAUACAAAUAUUAUGUGGAUUCUCAAAAAUUACCUCAAAUUAAAAAUGGUAUAGUGGCAUAGGCAGGGCCGCCAUCAGGGGGUGACAGGGGUGACUCCUGUCAGGGGCCUAAUGGGCCAGGGGGGCCCCCUACAUUUUGGCAGCCACCACCAGUGGGUACUACAGCAGAGUGCUAAUUGAGCAUGGGAAUUGUUAUUACAAGGAGUAAAGUAUUAGCAUUUGAGAGGAUUUCUGAGUGUGCACUAAACCACUAUGCACAUACACAUUGUCUGUUCCUUUUUAGGACAUUUUGACCUUACUACUGAUUAUUCACAUCUUUCUACAGACUUUGAGACUAACGAGACCUUUCCGGAAGUCACCAAUCCACCAUUUAACCUUUAAAUUAUUGUUUAGGCAGUUCAGGGCCCUUCCUUUCAGCCACUGCAUGCUGUUGUCCUCAUUUAGUUGGCAUCUUCCUUUACAAAAAGAUAAUCAGAAUUCCAUA